This 464-nucleotide ribosomal RNA is filed under the name uncultured Geobacteraceae bacterium. RNAcentral describes it as "partial 16S ribosomal RNA". It matches the Rfam family "Bacterial small subunit ribosomal RNA", at positions 338 to 794 of the family's 1533-position model. Lineage: Bacteria; Pseudomonadati; Thermodesulfobacteriota; Desulfuromonadia; Geobacterales; Geobacteraceae. The record is from RNAcentral.
CCUACGGGAGGCAGCAGUGGGGAAUUUUGCGCAAUGGGGGCAACCCUGACGCAGCAACGCCGCGUGAGUGAUGAAGGCCUUCGGGUCGUAAAGCUCUGUCAGAGGGGAAGAAAUGCAGGUGGUGAACAACCAUUCUGUUUGACGGUACCCUCAAAGGAAGCACCGGCUAACUCCGUGCCAGCAGCCGCGGUAAUACGGAGGGUGCGAGCGUUGUUCGGAAUUAUUGGGCGUAAAGCGCGUGUAGGCGGUUUGUAAAGUCUGAGGUGAAAGCCCCGGGCUAAACCGGGAAAGUGCAUGGGAUACUGGCAGACUGGAGUACGGGAGAGGAGAGUGAAAUUCCCAGUGUAGGAGUGAAAUCCGUAGAUAUUGGGAGGAACACCGGUGGCGAAGGCGGCUUCCUGGCCACAAGCUGACGCUGAGGUGCGAAAGCCAGGGGAGCGAACGGGAUUAGAUACCCCUGUAGU